GACGAACGCUGGCGGCGUGGAUUAGGCAUGCAAGUCGAACGGUAUCAUCCUUUCGGGGGUGAGAGAGUGGCGAACUGGUGAGUAACACGUAGGUUAUCUACCCUCAAGACGGGGACAACCCAGGGAAACUUGGGCUAAUACCGGAUGUGAGCAACUUUUAGUUGUUUGAAAGGUGGCGUAAGCUGUCGCUUGGGGAUGAGCCUGCGUCCUAUUAGUUAGUUGGUGAGGUAACGGCUCACCUAGGCAAUGAUAGGUAGGCGGCCUUAACGGGUGGUCGCCCACACUGGGAUUGAGAUACGGCCCAGACUCCUACGGGAGGCAGCAGUCGAGAAUAGUCUACAAUGGUCGGAAGACUGAUAGUGCGACGCCGCGUGAACGAUGAAUCCCUUCGGGGUGUAAAGUUCUUUUAUAUGUGAGCAGUGCUUCUUAUAUUAACAGUAUGGGGAGAGAGAUAUUAGCAUAUGAAUAAGCAACGGCUAACUCCGUGCCAGCAGCCCGGUAAA
This 503-nucleotide ribosomal RNA is filed under the name uncultured bacterium. RNAcentral describes it as "bacterial SSU rRNA". It matches the Rfam family "Bacterial small subunit ribosomal RNA", at positions 28 to 524 of the family's 1533-position model. The record is from RNAcentral.